This 29-nucleotide non-coding RNA is filed under the name Mus musculus (house mouse). The record is from RNAcentral. Lineage: Eukaryota; Metazoa; Chordata; Mammalia; Rodentia; Muridae.
UGUGCAUCAUACAUGUGCUUAUAGAGGGU